This 254-nucleotide ribosomal RNA is filed under the name uncultured bacterium. RNAcentral describes it as "partial 16S ribosomal RNA". It matches the Rfam family "Bacterial small subunit ribosomal RNA", at positions 524 to 776 of the family's 1533-position model. The record is from RNAcentral.
UACGUAGGGGGGCAAGCGUUGUCCGGAUUCAUUGGGCGUAAAGAGCGUGUAGGCGGCCAGGUAGGUCGGUUGUGAAAACUGGAGGCUCAACCUUCAGAGGUCGACCGAAACCAUCUGGCUAGAGUCCGGGAGAGGAGAGUGGAAUUCCUGGUGUAGCGGUGAAAUGCGCAGAUAUCAGGAAGAACACCCGUGGCGAAGGCGGCUUUCUGGGACGGUACUGACGCUGAGACGCGAAAGCGUGGGGAGCGAACAGG